This 2932-nucleotide ribosomal RNA is filed under the name Escherichia coli. Its description in RNAcentral is "bacterial LSU rRNA". It matches the Rfam family "Bacterial large subunit ribosomal RNA". Lineage: Bacteria; Pseudomonadati; Pseudomonadota; Gammaproteobacteria; Enterobacterales; Enterobacteriaceae. The record is from RNAcentral.
GGGUUGUGAGGUUAAGCGACUAAGCGUACACGGUGGAUGCCCUGGCAGUCAGAGGCGAUGAAGGACGUGCUAAUCUGCGAUAAGCGUCGGUAAGGUGAUAUGAACCGUUAUAACCGGCGAUUUCCGAAUGGGGAAACCCAGUGUGAUUCGUCACACUAUCAUUAACUGAAUCCAUAGGUUAAUGAGGCGAACCGGGGGAACUGAAACAUCUAAGUACCCCGAGGAAAAGAAAUCAACCGAGAUUCCCCCAGUAGCGGCGAGCGAACGGGGAGCAGCCCAGAGCCUGAAUCAGUGUGUGUGUUAGUGGAAGCGUCUGGAAAGGCGCGCGAUACAGGGUGACAGCCCCGUACACAAAAAUGCACAUGCUGUGAGCUCGAUGAGUAGGGCGGGACACGUGGUAUCCUGUCUGAAUAUGGGGGGACCAUCCUCCAAGGCUAAAUACUCCUGACUGACCGAUAGUGAACCAGUACCGUGAGGGAAAGGCGAAAAGAACCCCGGCGAGGGGAGUGAAAAAGAACCUGAAACCGUGUACGUACAAGCAGUGGGAGCACAGAGCAAUCUGUGUGACUGCGUACCUUUUGUAUAAUGGGUCAGCGACUUAUAUUCUGUAGCAAGGUUAACCGAAUAGGGGAGCCGAAGGGAAACCGAGUCUUAACUGGGCGUUAAGUUGCAGGGUAUAGACCCGAAACCCGGUGAUCUAGCCAUGGGCAGGUUGAAGGUUGGGUAACACUAACUGGAGGACCGAACCGACUAAUGUUGAAAAAUUAGCGGAUGACUUGUGGCUGGGGGUGAAAGGCCAAUCAAACCGGGAGAUAGCUGGUUCUCCCCGAAAGCUAUUUAGGUAGCGCCUCGUGAAUUCAUCUCCGGGGGUAGAGCACUGUUUCGGCAAGGGGGUCAUCCCGACUUACCAACCCGAUGCAAACUGCGAAUACCGGAGAAUGUUAUCACGGGAGACACACGGCGGGUGCUAACGUCCGUCGUGAAGAGGGAAACAACCCAGACCGCCAGCUAAGGUCCCAAAGUCAUGGUUAAGUGGGAAACGAUGUGGGAAGGCCCAGACAGCCAGGAUGUUGGCUUAGAAGCAGCCAUCAUUUAAAGAAAGCGUAAUAGCUCACUGGUCGAGUCGGCCUGCGCGGAAGAUGUAACGGGGCUAAACCAUGCACCGAAGCUGCGGCAGCGACACUAUGUGUUGUUGGGUAGGGGAGCGUUCUGUAAGCCUGUGAAGGUGUACUGUGAGGUAUGCUGGAGGUAUCAGAAGUGCGAAUGCUGACAUAAGUAACGAUAAAGCGGGUGAAAAGCCCGCUCGCCGGAAGACCAAGGGUUCCUGUCCAACGUUAAUCGGGGCAGGGUGAGUCGACCCCUAAGGCGAGGCCGAAAGGCGUAGUCGAUGGGAAACAGGUUAAUAUUCCUGUACUUGGUGUUACUGCGAAGGGGGGACGGAGAAGGCUAUGUUGGCCGGGCGACGGUUGUCCCGGUUUAAGCGUGUAGGCUGGUUUUCCAGGCAAAUCCGGAAAAUCAAGGCUGAGGCGUGAUGACGAGGCACUACGGUGCUGAAGCAACAAAUGCCCUGCUUCCAGGAAAAGCCUCUAAGCAUCAGGUAACAUCAAAUCGUACCCCAAACCGACACAGGUGGUCAGGUAGAGAAUACCAAGGCGCUUGAGAGAACUCGGGUGAAGGAACUAGGCAAAAUGGUGCCGUAACUUCGGGAGAAGGCACGCUGAUAUGUAGGUGAAGUCCCUCGCGGAUGGAGCUGAAAUCAGUCGAAGAUACCAGCUGGCUGCAACUGUUUAUUAAAAACACAGCACUGUGCAAACACGAAAGUGGACGUAUACGGUGUGACGCCUGCCCGGUGCCGGAAGGUUAAUUGAUGGGGUCAGCGCAAGCGAAGCUCUUGAUCGAAGCCCCGGUAAACGGCGGCCGUAACUAUAACGGUCCUAAGGUAGCGAAAUUCCUUGUCGGGUAAGUUCCGACCUGCACGAAUGGCGUAAUGAUGGCCAGGCUGUCUCCACCCGAGACUCAGUGAAAUUGAACUCGCUGUGAAGAUGCAGUGUACCCGCGGCAAGACGGAAAGACCCCGUGAACCUUUACUAUAGCUUGACACUGAACAUUGAGCCUUGAUGUGUAGGAUAGGUGGGAGGCUUUGAAGUGUGGACGCCAGUCUGCAUGGAGCCGACCUUGAAAUACCACCCUUUAAUGUUUGAUGUUCUAACGUUGACCCGUGAUCCGGGUUGCGGACAGUGUCUGGUGGGUAGUUUGACUGGGGCGGUCUCCUCCUAAAGAGUAACGGAGGAGCACGAAGGUUGGCUAAUCCUGGUCGGACAUCAGGAGGUUAGUGCAAUGGCAUAAGCCAGCUUGACUGCGAGCGUGACGGCGCGAGCAGGUGCGAAAGCAGGUCAUAGUGAUCCGGUGGUUCUGAAUGGAAGGGCCAUCGCUCAACGGAUAAAAGGUACUCCGGGGAUAACAGGCUGAUACCGCCCAAGAGUUCAUAUCGACGGCGGUGUUUGGCACCUCGAUGUCGGCUCAUCACAUCCUGGGGCUGAAGUAGGUCCCAAGGGUAUGGCUGUUCGCCAUUUAAAGUGGUACGCGAGCUGGGUUUAGAACGUCGUGAGACAGUUCGGUCCCUAUCUGCCGUGGGCGCUGGAGAAUUGAGGGGGGCUGCUCCUAGUACGAGAGGACCGGAGUGGACGCAUCACUGGUGUUCGGGUUGUCAUGCCAAUGGCACUGCCCGGUAGCUAAAUGCGGAAGAGAUAAGUGCUGAAAGCAUCUAAGCACGAAACUUGCCCCGAGAUGAGUUCUCCCUGACUCCUUGAGAGUCCUGAAGGAACGUUGAAGACGACGACGUUGAUAGGCCGGGUGUGUAAGCGCAGCGAUGCGUUGAGCUAACCGGUACUAAUGAACCGUGAGGCUUAACCUUACAACGCCGAAGGUGUUU